GCGGGAAUAGCUCAAUUGGUAGAGCACUAGCCUUCCAAGCUAGUCGUCGCGGGUUCGAAACCCGUUUCCCGCUCCA
RNAcentral lists this transfer RNA (76 nucleotides) under Candidatus Atribacteria bacterium. RNAcentral's name for it is "tRNA-Gly". It matches the Rfam family "tRNA". Rfam says of the family: Transfer RNA (tRNA) molecules are approximately 80 nucleotides in length. Their secondary structure includes four short double-helical elements and three loops (D, anti-codon, and T loops). The record is from RNAcentral. Lineage: Bacteria; Pseudomonadati; Atribacterota; Atribacteria.